CUCACUUAGGACCCAUUAAGCUAUAAUAGCUUAGGGUGUGUGAUGAGGGACAGGCAAGCAAAGAAGCUCUAAAAGAAGGGUAAUUUCUUUAGGCAUUUAACCAGGGGGUGAUGAGGAGUCUUGGGAUUUUGUGCAAAGAAGGAACAAAAUUGGAUUUUCAUGUCAGAAAGACUACUCUGUGUCAUCAACUUAGCCCAUGUUAGCGGUUGUUCAUAGAGAUGUUGUUCAAAGGAGGAAAAAGAGGAGUGAGGAAUAAAGAAGCCCAUUUCAGAGUGAGUGAGUGAAUGUGAAGAAAGAAAGGAGAUGACCAAAUGCAACAGAGUCUUGCUGUUGCCUCAGCUAAAGUGCAGUG
Non-coding RNA from Microcebus murinus (gray mouse lemur), 352 nucleotides. The record is from RefSeq and is a predicted model, not a curated record. NCBI's taxonomy places the organism in Eukaryota, Metazoa, Chordata, Mammalia, Primates, Cheirogaleidae.